Molecule: long non-coding RNA, 2500 nt
Filed under: Nicotiana benthamiana
Lineage: Eukaryota; Viridiplantae; Streptophyta; Magnoliopsida; Solanales; Solanaceae
Description: long non-coding RNA (NBEN_LNC009409)
Source: RNAcentral
CCAAAUCCAGCACACGCCCGGACCAGCUCUCGUUAAAUCCUGGUCGCGGACUAGAUUCCCCCUUUCCUAAAUUAAACUAAUCAACCCCCCCCCCCCAAAGAAAACCCAGCCAUUCUAACUCAAACAGCGGCUCUAUAAUCUCUCUCCUCUCUCAAAUACUCUCAAACCUAACCCUAAUCGGACCUCGCUGUCACUCAUAUAUGGCUAUCUAUGGUGGUUCUUACCACCCCUCAGGCCUCUAGUAACUUCUAUCAUGUUGGUAUUGCAAUCUCCAGGGUCCUCGAGGGACCAGAGUUAGUUGGCUUGCAUCUAUUGCCCUUUCUCUCCUGUUUCAGGCUAUUUCGAUGUGGUUCCGAGUAAGAUCUUCCUAUGUCAUCUUGAAUCUAGAGGUUUUUACGCUUGCUUCUUCAUUUCUGUAGUUGUUCUCUUCGAAAUCCUAAUGUUUUCUUCUAAUCCUCUUAGAUCUGUACAGAUCUGAGGUGAUUUGGACUUAUUUCAUAUGAUUUUUACAAUAACCUUGUGAUUUUUACAAGAAUCGUCUAACUUUUGAAUGAUUUUUAUUUUUUCUAAACUAGGGUUUCCGGAAAUUUCUUUUUUUUUUUCAAAACAUUUGAUAAUUUUUAGUGUUUAAUCUUCUGUUUCCAAUAUGUUUUAAUCGAUUUCGUUAGGUUUUAUCUUACCUUAUCUCGUUUAUACUAAAAUCCCCUAAUUGUUUUGAUAUUCUUUGUUUUGUUUCUGAGUACUGGUGUACUGACUAUGUUCUUGCCUUGGUUCUUGUGAUUUCUCUUUAGCCUUUUGAAUGUCUCAUAGUUUUUUGUCCUAAUAUGCCUCUACUGAAUUUCUUAGCUUGACCUUUCACUGAUUCUAUAUGUCUGUGUUCAUCCUGAUUAUUCAUGUUAAGACCUAUAUCUUUCUCCUUGAAUCAGUGUCAAUUUAACUAUUUGUUUCAUUACAAUUAUGUGUCGAAUCCUGACUAUUCAUUUCUUACCUUAUUUUAUCUGCUAGACUUGCUAACUCUUUACGUGAUUUUCACUUUGAUUGAGCGCUUGAUUAUUCAGAAGUCCUUAUUUCUUGAUUUGAUUUGAAUCCCUUUCCUUAACAAAACUUUUGAUUCUUAUCUCUCUACUCAGUUUAAUUGAACUACUUGCCUUAAUUAAUUUUCGCUUGCCUUAUUUGUUAUUUUGCUGAUUCUUACUGAUUGUUUCCUUAACUGAAAUCCUUGUGCAUUCACCCCUAAUUACCUACUCUGUACUUGAUUUCCUUCCUUAAGUAUUUGUCUUGCUUUUACCAUUAAUUAUCCCUUGAUAAAAUGGAGGACUUAUUAAUUUUACAUGUGAUUGAUUCCCUGAAUUUCUCUAAUUGCUACUUAAUUGAUCCCUUAUCUUAUUUUGCUAAGCUUUUUAUUACUAUAUAAAAUCACUCCUAUUCUCACUUCAGAGAUGAAUAUUAGUAUACAAAAGCACACUUACACUCUAGAGCUCUCUUUUCUUCUCAGCUACUUGUGAAACUUACUGAUCUAGCCAGCUGAAAGUCAAGGCUAGAUAUUGGAACUAUAUCUGCUUUGUAUUUUGCACUCUUUUCUUCAACUGGUAUGUCUCUAGUUAAAUUUUGAAACCCAAGCCCUAUGUGUUUCAUCCCUGCACUAGUUCAACAACUAUGAAUUCAACAAGUCUUCCUGCUUACUCUUUAUCUAGCAUGUCUAACCUCUGUCCUGUACAAUGUAUGAUUACCAUGCCUACACUUCACCUAGUUAUCUGAUACCUCACCAGCCUGUUUGUGAAUAUCUGUUUAAUCACUUAAUUAUGUGAUCAUUUGAUGUAUGUGGUUGACCCUGCCUCUAUAUUUAAUCCUUUUCAAGAUAUGUCAAGUUUUCUAUAUUACAUUUAUGAGAUCUAUCUUAACCAUUUACUAACCAUGACUAGCCUGCUAAGUCUUUAAGACCCUAAGUGUUUUAUGCAGUUGUUGACUACAUGUUUUCCUUGUACCCUAUCCAUGUACCCUCCGAUAUGACUCUUAUGUGCCCCGAUCCUUUUAUCCCUAUGUGAGAUCUAUUUGUUGAGCGUUUCUGAAUCUGGAUAUUUUAUGGCCAGUUGAUUGUCUGCUAUUUUCAAAAGAGUUUUAGUACUCUUCUCAAACUGUCUUUUACCACCAAACUAUUUUUGAUUUCAGGAAACCUUUUCACUCCUAGAAGUCAUCUUUGUACAAUUUUCAAAACCUUUUCAAAACUAUGUCAAGCACUCUCACUUUACUCUUAGAUAACUAGGUUCUGCCCCUAUGAUAUGUGUACUUCCUUGAGACCCUUGAGAUAUCUCCGAACUUUGGCAUAUCAGGGCUAGCACUUCCAUACUGCACAAUAAUCAGUUAAUAUUUGAGGAAAGUCUGGGUGUGAACACUGUUCGAAAUCCUUGAGGUCUUUAGGAAACUCUAACACACAUGGACAUGAAAUUGGCUAUGUAACUUUGGCAUGUGAGACUACAACAGGCUUGGAAAUCAUUUGGGC